GCAGCCGCGGUAAUACUGAGGGGGCUAGCGUUACUCGGAAUUACUGGGCGUAAAGCGAGCGUAGGCGGUUAAUCAAGUUGGGGGUGAAAGCCCGGGGCUCAACCCCGGAAAUGCCCUCAAAACUAGUUAACUAGAGGACGGGAGAGGGGAGUGGAACUCCCAGUGUAGAGGUGAAAUUCGUAGAUAUUGGGAAGAACACCAGUGGCGAAGGCGACUCUCUGGACCGUUUCUGACGCUAAGGCUCGAAAGCGUGGGUAGCAAACAGGAUUAGAUACCCUGGUAGUCCACGCCGUAAACGAUGAGUGCUAGACGUUGGGGGGAACGCCCUUCAGUGUCGUCGCUAACGCAUUAAGCACUCCGCCUGGGGAGUACGGUCGCAAGAUUAAAACUCAAAUGAAUUGACGG
RNAcentral lists this ribosomal RNA (405 nucleotides) under uncultured Alphaproteobacteria bacterium. RNAcentral's name for it is "bacterial SSU rRNA". It matches the Rfam family "Bacterial small subunit ribosomal RNA", at positions 511 to 916 of the family's 1533-position model. Lineage: Bacteria; Pseudomonadati; Pseudomonadota; Alphaproteobacteria. The record is from RNAcentral.